This 1255-nucleotide long non-coding RNA is filed under the name Hordeum vulgare. Its description in RNAcentral is "long non-coding RNA (HVUL_LNC010909)". Lineage: Eukaryota; Viridiplantae; Streptophyta; Magnoliopsida; Poales; Poaceae. The record is from RNAcentral.
UAAGCUAAUGAAAUGGUAAAUAUGAAAUAUAGGUUCUGAAAGUGAAAAACAAUAUGAAACUGAAAUGUCAACUUGUGAAACUGAUUUUUUUAAAAUAUGUAAUAAUUUAUUUCAGGAGAGUGAAAUAUGUUAUUUCAAAAUAUACAAUUGAAAUAAAUAUGACUUUGCUGAAACAAACCGGUGAAAGGUUUUAAAAAUAUAAAAUACCCCCUUAGUUCCUAUAUGUAGUGUGUACUGUUUUUCAAGCAAAGUUCCACAACGUAGGGCGCAGUUGUGUUUUGGACGAAAAUAACCCUCGCUAGACUGGAAGUGUGUGGCUGAGAACUGCCCGAUUGUUGGACACAUGCAUGUGAGCAAGCUGAGUGGAGGGUAACAGAGUCCAAAGUACAGAUGACAUCACACACAUUGGUCUUGGAGCGGGAAUGAAACACACACUAUAUAAAGGAACAGAAGGAGUAAGUUAUUUCUAUAAUAUGCAAUUGAGACAGAUGUGAUUUUUAUGAAACAAGCGACUGAAAAGUGAAAUGUAGGUUCUGAAAGUGAAAAACAAUAAGAAAUUCAAAUGUAAACUUGUGAAACUGAUAUUUGGAAUUGUGAAAUAUGUUACUUCAAAACAGUGAAAUUAAAAUAGACAUGAUUUUUGUGAAACAAAACAGUGAAAAGUGAAAUGUAUGUUCUGAAUUGUGAAAUGUAGGUUCUGGAUUGUAAAAUAGUGACAACAGAAAGUGAAAUUACAACGUGCCAAUGUGAAACUGAUUAUUUGUAAAUGUGAAACAAUUCUAUUUAAAAAAAGAGAAAUAUGUUAUUUGAGAAAUGUCCAUUUGAAAUAGAUGAUAUAUUUGUAAAACAAGCGGGUGAAAAGUAAAAUGUAAGUUGUGAAUUGUGAGAUAGUAAAUACAUAAAGUAAAAUUAUAGUUUAGCAUCGUGAAACUGAUUAUUUCAAAAUAUGAAACAAAUGUUUGAAUUUAAAUGUUUUUAAAAAAUAUUCAAAACUGGUCUCCUUUUAAAGGUUACGGAACAAGGAGUCCGGAUAUAAAAAAAGUUUCAAAAAGGGAUAUGUGACUUAAUAGAUAUGGAUGAUUUAAAUUAGCCAAAGUGAAAUAAAAGGUUGGAUAUGCGACACUGCUGUCGGUUCUGCAUGUAAAGUAUAUCGAUGGUGGGGUAGCUGCUGAAAUACCAAUAUUUAUAACAGCUUAGCUAAAACACGCCUAUUUAUGACAUAAAUAUUGCACAUCUAGUUUCUAUGACAUUGAAG